Molecule: ribosomal RNA, 253 nt
Filed under: uncultured bacterium
Lineage: Bacteria
Description: partial 16S ribosomal RNA
Rfam family: Bacterial small subunit ribosomal RNA
Source: RNAcentral
UACAGAGGGGGCAAGCGUUGUUCGGAAUUACUGGGCGUAAAGGGCGCGUAGGCGGCCUUCUAAGUCGAACGUGAAAUCCCCGGGCUCAACCCGGGAACUGCGUCCGAUACUGGAAGGCUUGAAUCCGGGAGAGGGAUGUGGAAUUCCAGGUGUAGCGGUGAAAUGCGUAGAUAUCUGGAGGAACACCGGUGGCGAAGGCGGUUCUCUGGGCCUGUACUGACGCUGAGGAACGAAAGCGUGGGGAGCGAACAGG